UACGGGGGGGGCAAGCGUUGUUCGGAAUUACUGGGCGUAAAGGGCGCGUAGGCGGCCUUCUAAGUCGGACGUGAAAUCCCUCGGCUUAACCGAGGAACUGCGUCUGAUACUGGAUGGCUUGAGUUCGGGAGAGGGAUGCGGAAUUCCAGGUGUAGCGGUGAAAUGCGUAGAUAUCUGGAGGAACACCGGUGGCGAAGGCGGCAUCCUGGACCGACACUGACACUGAGGAGCGAAAGCCAGGGGAGCAAACGGG
Molecule: ribosomal RNA, 253 nt
Filed under: uncultured bacterium
Lineage: Bacteria
Description: partial 16S ribosomal RNA
Rfam family: Bacterial small subunit ribosomal RNA
Source: RNAcentral